Molecule: non-coding RNA, 363 nt
Organism: Dermacentor albipictus
Lineage: Eukaryota; Metazoa; Arthropoda; Arachnida; Ixodida; Ixodidae
Source: RefSeq, a predicted model, not a curated record
CAAUAUUAGUAUAUAAGUGCGUAGCACUUUCACGCAGUGCCAGGCAUCUUUUGUCCAGUACACGAAGUGUGUCAAAUAUUACGAUGUCUCCGUUCAAUAUCCUGGUGAUCGUCAUCAUUUCAGUUGCUAUUACCUCCAUAACGCACAGCACAGGAGCUGCGUCGUACCACGACAAUGCUAAAUGUCCUGUUCCUGGGCAGUAUUGCCUUACAGACGGAAAUCCCACUUUAAAGUGCCCUCCAAAUUGCGAGUGCGUCGUCAUGGUGGGCGAAGGAAUCAACUCUAAACAAGGAAAUUGCUCUGAUCCUAGGAGAAGGGGAUAAACUUUUUAUGCGGACAUGAAAUAAAGCAUUCUAAUAUCUA